GAUUUCUGGUGUGGUGUACCGAGCCCGCCACUUUUGGUGGCGAGUGCUUGUUUUGUGCGCCUACCAUCCUUCUGGAUAGCGUAUUCUACCCUUCACUGGGCCGGAGUACGUGAUCUGGAUCUUUUACUUUGAAAAAAUUAGAGUGUUUAAAGCAGGCUUUAAUGCUAUGAAUACAUUAGCAUGGAAUAAUAAGAUAGGACUUUGGUUCUAUUUUGUUGGUUUCUAGGACUGAAGUAAUGAUUGAUAGGGACAGUUGGGGGUGCUAGUAUUUAACGGCCAGAGGUGAAAUUCUUGGAUUCGUUAAAGACUAACUUAUGCGAAAGCAUU
RNAcentral lists this ribosomal RNA (327 nucleotides) under uncultured Limnofilidae. RNAcentral's name for it is "SSU rRNA". The stretch from base 51 to 327 matches the Rfam family "Eukaryotic small subunit ribosomal RNA", at positions 679 to 955 of the family's 1831-position model. Lineage: Eukaryota; Cercozoa; Limnofilidae. The record is from RNAcentral.